Trichomycterus rosablanca is the source of this 1483-nucleotide long non-coding RNA. RefSeq lists it as uncharacterized. Lineage: Eukaryota; Metazoa; Chordata; Actinopteri; Siluriformes; Trichomycteridae. The transcript has 2 exons. The record is from RefSeq and is a predicted model, not a curated record.
UUAACGAUUAAAAGCCAUGUGGGCUUGUGUUUGUAGUACCGGUGCUAUGUUGCAGGUUCUCUCUGCGUUUCUGUUGGCGUGUUUCGCUUUCAGUAAAGUGAUAAUAGCGGCCACAUUGCACUACUGUGACUACGGUAGCUGCUGUGCCUGCUGGCAUUCUGAUGGAAACCUGUUUACCCGCCGAGGUUAAGGAUUAAAGUCGAGACUGCCGUGACAACUAUGCUGCUCGUGCCGGAUGUGACGGGUCUGGAGUAAUUGCACCAAGAAUGACAAGAAAUCACUACAGACUUUAUUGAAGACUAGAGCGAAGAACAACUCUGUUAUUAUUUAUCUAUUUAUCUAUUUAUUACCAGUUAUAACUUUUAGAUUAUUUAAUUCUGUGUUUGUAUGAUUUGUGUAAAUACUAUUUAUUUAAAGUAUCCUCCAGACCACCCAAGAAGGAUGGGCCCUGCUGAGUCUGGUUCCUCUCAAGGUUUCUUCCUGUAAUUUUCAGGGAGUUUUUCCUUGCCACAGUCGCCCUCGGCUUGCUCAACAGGGGUUUUUUGUAUCUGUUGGUCCUAGAUUUUGUAAAGUUGCUUUGAGACAAUGUCUAUUGUAAAAAGCGCUAUAUAAAUAAAGUUGACUUGACUUGACUUUCACUGUGGGGGAAACUGCAUUGCUGUAUCCUGGUCCUUUAGCCCGGAUCGUGCUGGCUCGGUUCCAGUUCCCUGAGAGCUACUGUUUUGCCUGAGCUACUGUUUUGCCUGCAUUGGUGUUUUACCUAAGCUACUGUUUUGCCUAAAAUACUGUUUGGUCGGACUUUGCCAUUUUUGUAUUAGUGUUUUGUCUGAGUCAUAUUUUGAUUUAUUGUUUUGUAUAAAUACAUUUUGUUUAUAUGAUUGAUUGUUUCCAUUUAUUUUGAUUUAUGGUUUAUUUUAUUGGAGUACUAUUGUAUGUGUAUUUUCUAUUUUUGUCUUUUGUUUGUGUGGUGUAAGGGGGCUGCAAGAGACUAGGGACCCUGUGCUUACCUCACUGAGAGAGAAGCGAGAGAGAUAAGUGUCCUUUGCCUCUUGAGCUAUUAAUUAUCAUUGGUCUUUUCCCCCUCCACCACCUGUUGUGUUUUAUAAUUAUUUUUUUCUCUUUUCCUCUGGCUGAACAGGAGCUGUGGGCCAAAGCGGGAGGCAGACGGACUUUGGUGGUGGAACCCCUUUCACUUGCCCUGCAGUCUAGAGCACGUUGGGUGUUAUUGAGGUGUGCGGUGUGAUCACGUGUGGUGUGUAGUGUAGGAGCUUCCUUUACUUCCAUAUUUUCCGCUGCCGUGGUAAGCACUCAGCCCUCUUCCUUCCUGCCUUGGCCUUGUUUUUAAAUUGUAAAUGGACCCAUAAAGUAUUAAGUGUGAUGCGCUAAUAAUUUUAUACUAAUCGUGUCUGUGUUUCAGAACAUGGUUUGUCUCUUGUGGAAACUUUUGUAAUCAAUUGCUAAUAAAAUUGACUAAGUGUUGGAA